RNAcentral lists this transfer RNA (67 nucleotides) under Janus compressus. Its description in RNAcentral is "tRNA-Asn". Lineage: Eukaryota; Metazoa; Arthropoda; Insecta; Hymenoptera; Cephidae. The record is from RNAcentral.
UUAAUUGAAACCAAAAAAGAGGUAAAUUAUUGUUAAUAAUUUAAUUGAAAAUUUAAUUCCAAUUAAG